GAUGAAGAACGUAGCAAAAUGCGAUAAGUAAUGUGAAUUGCAGAAUUCAGUGAAUCAUCGAAUCUUUGAACGCACAUUGCGCCCGCUGGUAUUCCGGCGGGCAUGCCUGUUCGAGCGUCAUUUCAUCCCUCAAGCCCCCGGGUUUGGUGUUGGGGAUCGGCUCUGCCCUUCUGGGCGGUGCCGCCCCCGAAAUACAUUGGCGGUCUCGCUGCAGCCUCCAUUGCGUAGUAGCUAACACCUCGCAACUGGAACGCGGCGCGGCCAUGCCGUAAAACCCCAACUUCUGAAUGUUGACCUCGGAUCAGGUAGGAAUACCCGCUGAACUUAAGCAUAUCAAUAAGCGGAGGA
This 348-nucleotide unclassified non-coding RNA is filed under the name soil metagenome. RNAcentral describes it as "partial contains 5.8S ribosomal RNA, internal transcribed spacer 2, and large subunit ribosomal RNA". The stretch from base 1 to 120 matches the Rfam family "5.8S ribosomal RNA", at positions 35 to 154 of the family's 154-position model. The record is from RNAcentral.